UUAUGGCUCAGGAUGAACGCUGGCGGCGUGCCUAACACAUGCAAGUCGAACGAAGACCCCGAGGCAGAGAUUCGGUCGAAGCCGAAGGGAGGACUGAGUGGCGGACGGGUGAGUAACGCGUGGAUAACCUGCCCCAUACAGGGGGAUAGCAGUUGGAAACGACUGAUAAUACCGCAUAAGCGCACGGGGAGACAUCUCUUUGUGUAGAAAAGAUUUAUCGGUAUGGGAUGGGUCCGCGUCCGAUUAGCAAGAUGGCGGGGUAAAGGCCCACCAAAGCGACGAUCGGUAGCCGGCCUGAGAGGGCGGACGGCCACAUUGGGACUGAGACACGGCCCAGACUCCUACGGGAGGCAGCAGUGGGGGAUAUUGCACAAUGGGGGGAACCCUGAUGCAGCGACGCCGCGUGGGUGAAGAAGUAUUUCGGUAUGUAAAGCCCUAUCAGCAGGGAAGAAAGUGACGGUACCUGAGUAAGAAGCCCCGGCUAACUACGUGCCAGCAGCUGC
Molecule: ribosomal RNA, 503 nt
Filed under: uncultured bacterium
Lineage: Bacteria
Description: bacterial SSU rRNA
Rfam family: Bacterial small subunit ribosomal RNA
Source: RNAcentral